GUCGGCGUCGCUAAGCGCUUGAGUUCGAGGGAAACCAGCCAGAACAGGCCGGAAUACCUCGCGUUCAAAAUCCGCCGCUGGAAACAGUGUGUCGGUUCGAGUCCGACCGCCGGCACCA
This 118-nucleotide transfer RNA is filed under the name Salinicola sp. DM10. RNAcentral describes it as "tRNA-OTHER". The record is from RNAcentral. Lineage: Bacteria; Pseudomonadati; Pseudomonadota; Gammaproteobacteria; Oceanospirillales; Halomonadaceae.